AUUAUGGUGUUCUAUCGCCUAGAGAAAAUUGCUUUAUGACUGACUUACGUCAUCCAUAAUGGAAGCGCAAAGUUUCAAAAAGUAAGCCGAUAAACGGCAGGACAAGAAUUUGGACAGAUCUCAAAACCACACACCUGGGCCUGCUCCAUACAUCGGCCAGAAGGAUCACUUUGACUUCGGCCUUAACUGAAUACAAUGCUUGGAAUUCAAACUAAAAGCUGAGAUUUCAAAACGCUAUGCUUAACAGCACAAUUCAAAUGAAGCUACGAAGGAUGAACUUGAUCAAGUCAUUGGAUAAGGCUGACCAAAAAAUUGGACAAUUGGAAGAUUUCCCACAUUUCCUGAGUCAUGUGACUUCACUAGACAUACAUAAGCCUUUAAGAGUGGUGUGCAAUUAUUCAGCAACAAUCAAGGGAAAGCAGAAGAAUGUCAGUGACUUGACAAGCAGCAUAAUGGUGGGUGCCCUUGCAAUCAACUCUUCCCUCAACGUAGUGGCUGCAUUGACCAACGUGUUUCUAGGUACAAUAUUCCUGAAGACAACA
Acipenser ruthenus (sterlet) is the source of this 542-nucleotide long non-coding RNA. RefSeq lists it as uncharacterized. Lineage: Eukaryota; Metazoa; Chordata; Actinopteri; Acipenseriformes; Acipenseridae. The transcript has 3 exons. The record is from RefSeq and is a predicted model, not a curated record.